RNAcentral lists this ribosomal RNA (301 nucleotides) under uncultured bacterium. Its description in RNAcentral is "partial 16S ribosomal RNA". It matches the Rfam family "Bacterial small subunit ribosomal RNA", at positions 1064 to 1372 of the family's 1533-position model. The record is from RNAcentral.
AANUGUGAUGUUGGGUUAAGUCCCGCAACGAGCGCANCCCUUGUCCUUAGUUGCUACGCAAGAGCACUCUAAGGAGACUGCCGGUGACAAACCGGAGGAAGGUGGGGAUGACGUCAAGUCCUCAUGGCCCUUAUGGGUAGGGCUUCACACGUCAUACAAUGGNCGGAACAGAGGGUUGCCAACCCGCGAGGGGGAGCUAAUCCCANAAAACCGAUCGUANUCCGGAUUGCACUCUGCAACUCNAGUGCAUGAAGCUGGAAUCGCUAGUAAUCGCGGAUCANCAUGCCGCGGUGAAUACNUU